This 348-nucleotide unclassified non-coding RNA is filed under the name soil metagenome. Its description in RNAcentral is "partial contains 5.8S ribosomal RNA, internal transcribed spacer 2, and large subunit ribosomal RNA". The stretch from base 1 to 120 matches the Rfam family "5.8S ribosomal RNA", at positions 35 to 154 of the family's 154-position model. The record is from RNAcentral.
GAUGAAGAACGUAGUAAAAUGCGAUAAGUAAUGUGAAUUGCAGAAUUCGGUGAAUCAUCGAAUCUUUGAACGCACAUUGCGCCCGCUGGUAUUCCGGCGGGCAUGCCUGUUCGAGCGUCAUUUCAACCCUCAAGCCCCCGGGUUUGGUGUUGGGGAUCGGCUCUGCCCUUCUGGGCGGUGCCGCCCCCGAAAUACAUUGGCGGUCUCGCUGCAGCCUCCAUUGCGUAGUAGCUAACACCUCGCAACUGGAACGCGGCGCGGCCAUGCCGUAAAACCCCAACUUCUGAAUGUUGACCUCGGAUCAGGUAGGAAUACCCGCUGAACUUAAGCAUAUCAAUAAGCGGAGGA